This 157-nucleotide ribosomal RNA is filed under the name Convolvulus boissieri. RNAcentral describes it as "5.8S ribosomal RNA". It matches the Rfam family "5.8S ribosomal RNA". From Rfam's summary of the family: 5.8S ribosomal RNA (5.8S rRNA) is a component of the large subunit of the eukaryotic ribosome. It is transcribed by RNA polymerase I as part of the 45S precursor that also contains 18S and 28S rRNA. The record is from RNAcentral. Lineage: Eukaryota; Viridiplantae; Streptophyta; Magnoliopsida; Solanales; Convolvulaceae.
GACUCUCGGCAACGGAUAUCUCGGCUCUCGCAUCGAUGAAGAACGUAGCGAAAUGCGAUACUUGGUGUGAAUUGCAGAAUCCCGUGAACCAUCGAGUCUUUGAACGCAAGUUGCGCCCGAAGCCGUCAGGCCGAGGGCACGUCUGCCUGGGCGUCAC